GUACUGCCGAUGAGUCGCGGACUAAGACGAAACAGCUGUCCGGUAC
RNAcentral lists this non-coding RNA (46 nucleotides) under Trichobilharzia regenti. Lineage: Eukaryota; Metazoa; Platyhelminthes; Trematoda; Strigeidida; Schistosomatidae. The record is from RNAcentral.